CUACGGGAUGCAGCAGUGGGGAAUAUUGCACAAUGGGCGCAAGCCUGAUGCAGCCAUGCCGCGUGUAUGAAGAAGGCCUUCGGGUUGUAAAGUACUUUCAGCGGGGAGGAAGGGAGUAAAGUUAAUACCUUUGCUCAUUGACGUUACCCGCAGAAGAAGCACCGGCUAACUCCGUGCCAGCAGCCGCGGUAAUACGGAGGGUGCAAGCGUUAAUCGGAAUUACUGGGCGUAAAGCGCACGCAGGCGGUUUGUUAAGUCAGAUGUGAAAUCCCCGGGCUCAACCUGGGAACUGCAUCUGAUACUGGCAAGCUUGAGUCUCGUAGAGGGGGGUAGAAUUCCAGGUGUAGCGGUGAAAUGCGUAGAGAUCUGGAGGAAUACCGGUGGCGAAGGCGGCCCCCUGGACGAAGACUGACGCUCAGGUGCGAAAGCGUGGGGAGCAAACAGGAUUAGAUACCCCGGUAGUC
This 464-nucleotide ribosomal RNA is filed under the name uncultured bacterium. RNAcentral's name for it is "partial 16S ribosomal RNA". It matches the Rfam family "Bacterial small subunit ribosomal RNA", at positions 339 to 795 of the family's 1533-position model. The record is from RNAcentral.